AGCAUCAUACUAAAUAGAGUUAAAUUUUAAUUAAACUGUAAAAAGCCAUAAUUAUAACAAAAAUAAAUGACGAAAGUAACCCUACAAUAGCUGAUACACCAUAGCUAAGACCCAAACUGGGAUUAGAUACCCCACAA
RNAcentral lists this ribosomal RNA (137 nucleotides) under Ovis aries (sheep). RNAcentral's name for it is "partial small subunit ribosomal RNA". The record is from RNAcentral. Lineage: Eukaryota; Metazoa; Chordata; Mammalia; Artiodactyla; Bovidae.